RNAcentral lists this long non-coding RNA (39878 nucleotides) under Sorghum bicolor (sorghum). RNAcentral describes it as "long non-coding RNA (SBIC_LNC002745)". The stretch from base 3746 to 3852 matches the Rfam family "Plant small nucleolar RNA R71". Lineage: Eukaryota; Viridiplantae; Streptophyta; Magnoliopsida; Poales; Poaceae. The record is from RNAcentral.
CUCUAAUAAGGCUUUUGAUAUCUGGAGCUCAUAGGUGGGAGAUAAAGUAUACAUACUCACAAGACAUUUAUUGUAUAGUCAAACCACGGAACCAAAGUAACAAAUCAAUAAGUCAAAUCAAGAUGUGCAUGUGUGGUGAAUGAAUGGUGUAGGGUGAUGACAAUGGUGAAAGUCUAAUUCUACUUGUGCUCUUUGAGGGGAUACAUACCUUCCUUGCUUUUUGAAACUUUGUGAGGAGAAUGAGAUGCUCUUAUUUUUCUUUCCUCUCAGGUGGGUAUUUUGUACCCCUAAUUCUACUGUCGGACACUUGUCCAUUUUUACCUCUCGUCUUACUUUUUCUUUUCUUUUGAGGUUCCGGGCACUUGCCCCUUUUUAUUUCCUCGUAUCUUCUCUCUUUCUCUUUUUUAAGAGCACUCAUCUCAUGAAAUAAUAUAGAAAGUGGUAGUAACCAAGAUAAGUUGACCAUUUAUUUCACAGGGAAAAACAGAAAUAUUUUUGGCUAUUCUCUCCCGGAUUAGGAGUAGAAUAUUUUUGGGUGGUUCUGGAGAUGGAAAUGAGUGGAUAUAUGUGGAUGCGUACUUCCGAGGUAGAAGCAACAUGUGUGAGUGAACGUGCAAGUGAAUCUUGAUUUAACCACAUGACAAGCUCCUAAGGGUCUACACAGCUUGACCACACUCAAUGCUCAUAAGUAGUAAAAAGUAAAUGUGUGGCUCCAAGUCUAGCAAGCAUGUAUAUAUGGCUGUGGUAGGAAUUUAAACUCUCAUCAUGCAGGAACUCAUCAUGCAAUAUUUUAAAGAUUUUUCAAAGAUAAAAUUCUCCAGAAUUCUAGCAUCUUUAGGAAUAGAUAAACAAGAGCUCAACCUUCCCAUAUCAUACCCGUUAACAACUUAGACUUCAGAUCAAGUUCUCUUCCCACAAGUUCAGGCUUAGAGCAAGCUUUAAAUUAUAACAGUUAUGUCUAAACUUGAGAGAAAACUUAAAUUUGAAAAUUAGGCAGAGCAACUAUUCAUCAUAUCCAUGCUAGAGUUUUAUUAUUAAGAUUCAGUUUAGCAUAGCCACUUUAUUUAUUUAUUAAGCACACUAAGCAAAAGAUAUAUAUAUAUAAGCACAAAAUUUUUAUUUGGUUUUUCAUGUUUAUGUAUAUUUAUAUUUUAAUAUAGUAUAAGUAUAAAGAUAGAUAUACUUAGCGGGAUAAAUGGGGGUGCUCUCCCCCAAGCUGAAUUUUGACGUAAUUUCUUCUGAUAUAGCUAGCAGGUGGCAGAGGUGUAUUUGAAAGUCGGCAGUAUUCUGACAACGAUUAGAAUGUCUUCUGUCUGCUAGUCUUCUUGAUUCUUAAAUUCUGUGGAGCUCAAAUAGACAACAAAACUUUGUGGAACUGAUUAAGUGUUAGCAUAAAUAUCUAGCCUUUAUCACGUUGAGACUCCUCAAUAAAUAUUACUCUCUAUUUUUAUAUUUUCAUUUUAUAGAACAGCAAAAAAUAUUUAUUUUAUUUUUAUGCCACCACAGUGAAUGUCCUUAUGGGUUUCAUUCCACUCGUAUACUCACAUGGGGCUUACUGUUUUUUAACAUUUUUAUUUUCUUUUUAGGAUAGUGUGAACAUGUUUAACUAAGUAAACUAUUUUAAAAUAAUUGAAAGGUAGGAUAACUACCAAGUUUAUCUCUUGGCAAGGCAUUCUGUGUUUUUAAGUCCUCCGAACGGGACUCUCCGUCUUCUAUUUGUUCUGGGAUUUGUUGGGUGGGGUAGUCGUUGCUUCCGGCGGCGCCUCUUCUUCGUGUAUAGUUAUCUUCUCUCUCCACACCUGACUUGGUGCUACGGUCUCCUCUGGAUAAUUCUGUUCAAGCUGUAUGUCUUCAGACCUUACCACUUCUCCUUCAUAGUCUGCCCAUCCGUCCUUGAUAAUCUGCCUCCUCUGGUUUAGGUUGCGUCAUUUUCUUCUUGUCCUGUCCUGCUUAGAGUCUUCAAUGAUAUAAUUAGGAUCAGUAAAAUAGCAGCGUACCUUCUCUAAGGGGAAGUGCAUGUGGACUUCUCCAGUUCCAAUGUAGAUGAUUGCUUUAACGGUGCUGAGGAAUGGUCUUCCAAGGAUGAUGGGUAGAUCGUACUCAUCUUCUCCCAUGUCAAUAACCUGAAAGUCUGUGUAGACAAAAUAAUCGUCUAUUUUGACAGGGACAUCAGUUACUAUACCUUUAACCUCUCGAAAUGUCUGAUCUGCCAUCUGGAGCUGAAUGUAUAUUGGUUUUAAGGGCAUGGUUCCGAACAAGAGCCGAUAGGUGACUGCGGCCAUUAUGUUGACGCCCGAUCCGGUGUCGCAAGUCGUCUUGUAGAAGUUGUAUCCAUUUAUGGAGCAAUAGAUCCUUGACAUUCCUAGGUCGUCCUUCUUGGUCAGAAACGGUGACAUAAGUCGAUGAUCUUGACCUCCUUGAACUGCAGUGACCAUCUUAGCUGACUCGGUCCACACUUGCUUGUUCUUAUUCCUCCUGUUGGUCCUCUUCCUUGAUUCAUGUCGAGAUUGCUCUAGGAUUUGUGUAGUCUUGUUCUUGAAGGAAAAUGUCUCCUUCCUCCCUUUGAUGUAGAAACUGAUCUUGGCAGCACUAGCGUAGAUGACAACUCCCGAGGUGUUCAAGAAUGGCCUCCCUAAGAUGAUGGGUGCCCUCUCAUCAUUACCGAUCUCUAUCACCACGAAGUCUGCUGGGGCGUAUAAGGUACCAACUCAGACACAGAGGUUCUUCAAUAUUCCUUUUGGAAAACUUAUCGUCUGAUCUGCAAACAGCAAACACAUGGUUGUUUCUAAUAAAGGAUAUGUAAAGCAUUUUUCAUAGAGUACCUUGGGCAUAAUGUUGACGCUGGAGCCAAAGUCGCAGAGUGCUUCUGGGAAGUCCACCAUGCCGAUGGAGAUCGGGAUGACGGGGCGUCCUGGAUCGCCUCUCUUGACCGGCAGAAGGUCAGUAGUAACUUUAGUGACAGGGUUACUCCAGUAGUUAUCCGCAUCAAACAUGUCUACAAGAUUUGCAGAUUCUAAUUCUUCCGGCUGUGAUGGUAUACCGGGGUUAGUAGCAGGAACAGAAGCAGCUAUUUGAUUUAACUGAGAUUCAAUCAUUUUAUUAAAGCUAAUUUUAUUCUUGAUGGCAGUAGAGAAAUCAUCCAUUCUGUUAUUUAUAUUUUCUAACAUUUUAUCAUUAGAUGCCAAUUUCUUAGAUAGGUUAUCCAUUAGCUUUCCUUGAUUAGACACUAACUCUCUUAGAAGUGGAAAAUUAUUAGUAUUAUUGUAAGAAUUGUUACCUUGAUAAUUACCUGAGUAGUUAGGCCUCUAUUGAUUCCAACCUUGAUUUUGUUGACGACGGUUGUAGUAGUUGUUGUUAUUGUUGAUGUAGUUCACACCCUUAAACAUCUCAGGGCAAUGAUUGCCUGAGUGUCCAGUAUCUCCACACUCCUCACAAGUCAUGUGAGAGUCGUAGAUGUGUAUAACUUCUUUCUUAUCUCCAGCUCUAUCAUCGAGCUUCUUCAUGAGCAGGUCUAGUUUUGCAGACAGCAUGUCUACCUCCUUGAGCUGAUGCAUACCUCCUCCUCUCUUGCGUGUCUGGGUCCUUUCUUCAUUCCAGCUUUGAUUGGACGCCAUCUUCUCCACAAGAGCUGUGGCUUGUGAUAUGGUGAGUGAUAGGAAUGCUCCACCAGCUGCAGCAUCCAUGGUUUCUCGAGCAACUAUUGCCGAGCCCAUGAUAAAAUGUCUGCAUCAGUAGCCACCUCUCCAUUCCAUGAUGGGGACAUUUUAGAAUGUAGUCUUGGAAGAGCUCCCGUGCUUCUAGAACAGAUUCAUCAUCUUGUUGCUAAAAACUUGUAAUUUUCCCACAGCGAGCAUUGGUCUUGCCCAUGCGAAAGAACUUAGCCAGAAAGUUUGUGGAGCAGAGUGCCCACGUAGUAUUCUUCUCCUUUGUAGCGUAGAACCACUGCUUCGCUCUUCCUAACAGUGAGAAUGGGCAGAGGCGAAGUAGUAUAGCAUCUCUGGGACUCCUGAUAUGGUGAAUGUGCUGCAAAUCUCCAGGAAGUGUUGGAGAUGAGCACUAGCAUGUGCCUUCCCACAGAACUGGUUGGAUUGCACCAUGUUGAUAAGUCCAGGCUGUUGAUAUUUGGUAACGCCAUCAGGAAAUGAUCCGCAAGCGCACGGAUAUCGGUGAGCACUUCACCCGGGAGGUUAUCCAGAGUAUCGUAUUUAUAUUUUUGUUGACACUUGCUAACACCACUUGAAUACUAGGUUGUCAUCCCAGCAUGGAACUAGAGUGUACUAUGGUAUUUAUACGCACACAGAUAAAUCCGCAAGCGCACGGAUACCAUUGUAGCUUUUACCUAGUUAAAGGUUUUAUCGUAUCCACAGGGAAAUGGGAGAACCAACUACGCUCUAACUUAGCCAAGAUAGAUAGAUAAGUGUAAAUCGAAAAGAUGAUAUUAAAGGUAAGAUGGCGAUAAUAUGGGAAUAGAGAGUAGAGCAAUCUAGUAUAUGGGCGAUGGUAGCAGAAUAGAGAGCAUAACUAUGGUUUCUCUACUUCAAAGGGGUAUGUCUAUGUCUGAGAUGAACCACGUGAUAAGAAUACACCACAAAGGAUGCUUAUCCAUAGGCCGAUAAACCCUACCCGUCCUGCUAACAGGAGGUGGACUACAGGGGACCAACGUAACUGUCACCUACGCGGCCUACCACACGAUCCAGCUAGACAGGGGAUGUCCACAAGUAAUCUAGGUCUAAGCACCACGCUUACACCUAUACUACAACUCUAACCUAUAGGGUCCUAUAGAUUAGAAGUACUCAAAAGAGUUGUGAACCAAAACAUACACGAUUAGUAAUUGCAUAAUGAAUUAGAAGUAGAUUACCAUAGUCAUCCCAUGAGCAAGCUUGAUUAGAGCUUGAUCAUGGCGAAGUACAACCGGAGGAAGAACCGACGGACGGCCUCUCCUCCAAUCCUCCCUCGCUCUCCAUCUUGCUACUAUCUAAAUCUACUCUAGUUUAGAGAUGAGAGGAGAGCUCUCAUCUCCAAACCCUAGCUUUUGCUCUGUCUAUGAAUAAUGAAUAGGGAUCAAGGGGUGCCUCCUCCAGAGGCCAGGGGGUCUGCUUAUAUAGUCCCUUCAAGUGAAUCUGGGCCGUCGGAUCAAACCGACAUUGAUUGAAUGGUUAUUCUUGAUCCUUUAGGUCGGUGGAGCAUAAUCCCCGAAGCGAGUCCUUAUUGGACUCUGGGACAGGGCGGGCGCCCAAGAGGGGAGGGCGAGCGCCCUACCCCCGAGCCCGCUCGGCCUCCCGUUCGUUCCCGUGGCUUCUGGAGUCCCCUAGAUGAUAGAAAAUUGUGCGGCACGUUCAUAUCUCUGUGUAAACCUGAUAUGUGGGCCUUUCUUCCAUAAUUCCUGAUAACCCCCUGCAGAAAUAGACAAAUACCAAAACUUGUGGAAUUCUGUCAGAUAAAACCCUAAGUAUGGGUGUUGGUUUUAUUUGGAUCCUUUUCUUUGUUUAUUUGCUGAUUAUAUUUGGUACUUAAGGACCGUCAACAACUCCCCCAAGCUUACCUCUUGCUCGUCCCUGAGCAAGGAUGGACUCAAGAGUUUCUACAGUGGUUUUAUGCCUUAAAGGUACACAUGCGUUUAAACAAGAUCUCAUCUCUAGGUUAGGGUAAAUUGUUAAGAUUUAAAACUUACUCAUAUUACCUUUCACCAUGGGGCUUGCAACCGUCACUUGUGUCUUGAGCAGUUAAAAGAUAGAAUGGUCAAGUCAAGCACCAUGUCUCUUGUUCUUUGAUCAACUAUAGCUCUGGAAUUUUUGCAGAUUUUCAAAUAAAACUCAGAGAUUCCUAUAUGACUCUCUCAAUUCUCUCUUUUGUGGCAUUUCUGGUUCCUCACCAAGGCAGUGAUGGUAUAUGCCUUCUCUCAAAGAAUGUAGUAUUUGUGGUAUAAGGCAUAGUGACAUUGCCUUUUCUCUCACCCUACUCUAAUAAGGCUUGAUAUCUGGAGCCCAUAGGUGGGAGAUAAAGUAUACAUACUUACAAUACAUUUAUUGCAUAGUCAAACCAUGGAUCUAGAGAAACAAGUCAAUAAGUCAAAUCAAGAUGUGCAUGUGUGGCGAAUAAAUGGUGUAUGGUGAUGAUGGUGAUAAUGGUGAAAACAUUGGUGAAAGUCUAAUUCUACUUUUGCUCUUUUGAGGGGAUACAUACCUUUCUUGUACUUUGAAGCUUUUUGAGGAGAAUGAGAGGCUCUAUAUUUUCUUUUUCUUUUCUCUCAGGUGGGUAUCUUGUACCCCUAAUUCUACUGUCGGACACUUGUCCAUUUUUACCUCUCGUCUCACUUUUUCUUUUCUUCGAGGUUUUGGGCACUUGCCCCUUUUUAUUUCCUCGUAUUCACUCUUUUUUUUCAGAGCACUCACCCUCCUAGAAUAAUGUAGCAAGUGGUAGUAACGAAAAUAUCAAGAGCAUUUAUUUCAUGGGGAAUAAUAGGGAUAGGAUAAUGUUAUUGGCUAUUCUCUCCUGGAUAGGAGUAGAAUAAUUUUAGGUGAAUCUGGAGAUGGAAAGGAGUAGAUGUAUUUGGAUGCGUACUUCCGGAGUAGAAGCAGCAUGUGUGAGUGAACGUGCAUGUGAAUCUUAAUUUUAACCGCAUGACAAGCUCCUAAGGGUCUACACAGCUUGACCACACUCAAUGCUCAUAAGCAGUAAAAAGUAAAUGUAUGGUUCAUAGUCUAAUAAGCAUGUAUAUACGGCUGUGGUAGGAUUUUAAACUCUCAUCAUACAGGAACUCAUCAUGCAACAUUUUAAAGAUUUUCAAAGAUAAAAUUCUCCAGAAUUUUAGCAUCUCUAGGAACAGAUAAACAACAGCUCAACCUUCCCAUAUCAUAUCCGUUAACGACUUAGACCUUAGAUCAAGUACUUUUCCCCCAAGUUCAGGUUUAGAGCAAAUCUUAAUUCAUAACAGUCAUGCCUAAACUUGAGAGAGAUUUCAAUUUUGAGAACUAAUCAUGGCAGAGCAACUAUUCAUCAUUUCCAUGUGAGAGCUUAUCAUGAGGGUUCAUAGCAAACUUUAUUUAUUUAUUUAUUUAGCAAACUAAGCAUAGAUAUAUAUAUAUAUAAGCAUAAAAUCUUUAUUUGGGUUUUUAUGAUCAUGCAUCUUUUUAUUAUUUGAGUAAAGUAUAAAUGCGAGUAGAAACACUUAGCUAGAUAAAUGGGGGUGCUCUCUCCCAAGCUGGAUUUUAACGUAAUUUCUUCUGAUGUAGCUAGCAGGUGGCGGAGGUAUAUUCGAAUGUCGGCAGCUGUAACACCCUAAAAUUUUCUCCUUUCAAAGUAGAUGUAAAUUUAAGUAAUUUUGUAUUUUUAUGAUCAUAAAAAUAUAGGAAAAAUAAUAUUUUUAUUAAAUUAAAAUUUAUCAUAAGAUUUAGCAACAUUGUUGCGCAUACAUGCUGGUGCAUUCGAUUUGAUGUAAUGUUUGCUUGAUGCUUUUUUGUGUGUUGAGAGUGAGCAAAAUCUUUAGAAUGCGUUUAGUAGGUCGGUCUUCCUUCUGCGACAUAUCUUUAUCUUUUUGUACAAUAAAAUUCAUUGUUUCUCAGCUUAAGCUUUCAUUCAGAGCUUCUCAAAUCUUUUUGUUGUAACCCAAAUCACUCGUUUUAGUUCGUCAACCACCAAGCAAUCUCUAUAAACUUCUCAGAAAUUUUUAUGGCCUUUUCCGUGGAGCAUAAUCUAAUUCUAGAUGCUCUAAAUUAUCUUAUUAUGAUCUCUAAAUACCUUAUUUGGGUUCCUCUUGUUCCAUUAUAUCUCAGAGAAUUUUUUCCAAAUUUUCGAAGGUUGCGGAUAAUUUUUUUCUGGCUCAAAUAGUAAUUGUAGACUUUUCUAGAUAUUUUACCCAUAAAAUUAAUUAAUUCCAAAAAUAAUUGAUCCUAAUUCUAAUCUAUCUCAAACCAAGUCUUUUGGUUCAUUAAUUAAUGGAUCAAGGCCUGUUACCUCCAAUAGUCUAGCACGUGCCAGCCCAAAGAAAUCCAUUGCUUCGUUUUUUUCUAUCCUACUCGCAAACAUGGGCUUCUGGGCAUAUUAUAUAUAUUUAUACACCCAUAUUAGUUGAUGCCUAGGGCAGUAUAACCUUGUUGCCGCUGCCGUAUCGAGGCCGGCGCCGUACGACAACUUUGCCGUCGUCAAGCUAUAGAUCAUCCCGACGAGAUCGUCAUCUUCAUCCACUGAUUUUCCACCGAGCAAGGUAGAUCACAUCUGCUCUGUCUUGCCUAUUGAAUCAACAAGCUAAUAAGCUUCUUCACGUACUGAACAAGGAUGCCGGCUUGCUGCAGAUCACAUCCGCGAAGUCCACAAAUAAGGGCAGAUCGAAUGACGCCGCGAACGGCAGGAGUGCCGCCGGCGUCUGCGAUUUGUGAACCACCAUCAUGGGACGUUGUCAUCUAUUCUACAUACAGCCAUCACCACUACAAAUUCCGUUAGAUCAUCUCCCAUCUCACCUGAUCCAAGCCUCCAUCUUUGGUAUGCAUGCGAAUCUGCCGAUGAGAAGACCAUACCGUGGACUUUGCAAGUAGGUUCACGUCGUCCCUCAUCUGGACUUUCUAUUGAUCUCUUUCUCAAAUGUCUAACUGUUAGUUCCUUUAUCCUUUUGUGUCAUGUCACAAGCCAUAUAUGCCAGUUGUUUCCCUAACGUGCUUUGGAUCCUACCCAUCUGCCGCAGUUGCCGACCAUAUGUGGCGUCGCCUGCCAAUAUGCCAUAGUUGUUUCGGUCUUGUCUGGUCACCAUGGCCAUGCUCCAGCCCUUGCCCGAGACGAUGAGGAAGCCAGGAUUGUCUGCCAGCUAACAACUGUUCCAACUAGCAAGCAAAUUCGACAUAUUCUUAUUCGUGUUCACGUUAGGCACAUGCAGGCCAAGCUUCAUGCUCUGUACAAGCCAAUCAAACUUCUGGGCUGCCAAUUCAUCUUUGGUCAGUGGAGGUACAUGAGCAGAGAUCACGGGGAAAACUACUUAACUUUCUAUCUAUUCAGUGUCUUUCGUAUGGAUACAGAUCCUUGUAGUCCAAUCUUGGCAUCUUUAAUCCCAAGUCGUUUAUGAUCCGUUCUCUUUUGUUGUGUACUUUUGCUAACGUGAGAUAUAUAUUAGCAGCUAAGCUGAGCAUGCCACGUACUACUAAAUUUUAAAUUGAAUACUAAUUUGUUUAAUACGCAUACAGAAAGCUUUUCCAAUUAAAAAAAACAUAGGGUUAUCUUUGAUGUUUGUACAUAAAUAUUAAUAUGAUUAAUUAAUAUUAAUAAUAUAACUGUGUUGUUAAAUUGUAAAUUCCUUAGUUUAAACACCCCUUGUAUAAAUUGAUUAAAGGCUCUCAUAUAUUUAUUUCUUUUGCAAACUGAAGUGUAAAUGACUUUAAUAGUACGCGACAUAUUUGUAAAUAAAUUAAAAAUGAUUAGUUUUAAGCCUGGCUUUUCAAUUUCAUGCAUGUGACUAAUCUCAAUAAAAAUUCUUAUAAUCUUGCUUACUUAAAAUAAAUCAAGUUAGUGGUGGUUUCUUUUCUUUUACAAUUUAAAUUAUUCCGUAGUUGUUUCUUAUUCCGAUAAGAGUACUUUUUACUUCUGGGUGCUCGUAGCAAUGCGUAGAUUAGUUUUUGAACCUUUCUAUUGAUUGGUGUAUUGUUCUAAAUUUAUUAUGUUUGCUAUGCAUGUUUGUUCGGAUGCUUGUGUGGUAUGAUCCUGUCUAGUCGGCGAGUUUUAUGUGGUGAACAAGAGUACUUCAGUGAUCAAGAUCAGAGCCUUGGACAAGUAAGACCACCUGAACCAAAAGGGUCAGCAAGAGCAAUUGGAUUAAGGCAAGUAUAGCAUUUGAAUUUUAUUUCUGUGACCAUGAUCGUGUGACUAGAUUAAUGUUAAGUAAUAAAUGAUAAAAAUGACUUUUUAGCAACUUGAUGAUUUAUCUGUACGUGAUCACCGGGGACAACAGUGCAACCAUGAGGGCUAUAAUGGCUCUGGCUUUAGCUCAGUAUGAAGACCUUUUCUAGCUUGUUAGAGGUUACCCGAAAGGGCGCUAGAGGGGCUGAACCGACACGGGUAUAGUGCGAGCCCCUGUCCCUAUGUGUAUAGGCUGUGCGUCAUUGUGCCAUUCGGAAGGGGGGUAUCUAUAUCUGCUCGCGAAGGAAACCUUGCGGCCCUAACAUGUUAGACGAACUUUUGAAAGGCUUCAUAGUGAUCCCUGCCGACCUUCCUUGGUAGUGGGUUAAGAGGUCGACGGGCCUCGGGCGAAAGGGUAAAUCAUGACUCAUGGGUAAAGAUGUACAACCUCUGCAGAGUGUUAAAAACUAGUAUACUAGCCGAGCUCACGGUCAGGAGCGGCCUUGGGGACAUCUACAUUAAGGGCGAUGAUUCUUGUGUGUUAAUAUGUUCAUUAUUAUUGUUUAAUGCUCUACAUUAUUUAUAUCACAUUGAUCAUGAGAUUGUGGGAGCUAUAUAAUCUAGUUGCUAUACUUGUGGAGUUCGACAUGGACUCACUCUUGCUAUUUCCCCCACACUUCAGGAGAUGGUUUAGGCUUGUGAUCAACCAGUCAGUUGGAUUUUGUAGAGAGAAGUUAAUACCCAAAGUUUGGAGUUGUCUAUCCGCUGUUUGUUAUCAAAGGGUAUCUCUUUUAUACUAAGUAUGUUAUAUAUUUGUGCAUUGUCUUUUGAUAUUACCCCUUAUUUGUAGCUAUAUGUGAGAUUUGACCUCUAAAACUCACAUAUGGUGCAUAUCUGAUUUUGUCCUUAAAAUCGGGUAUUACAAAGUGGUAUCAGAGCAAUGCUGACUGUAGGACGCAAGCCUAGUUAGAAAUCAGUCGUCUUAAGGUUUUGAAAUUGUUAUAAAAUCCUUGUUCUGUAAACCUUGAUAUUUUCUCUACACUAUAUCCUUUUCAUUGCUAUUCAUCUUCACCUUGUUGCUUAUUUUAAAGACUUGUUCUCAUCCCCACUCCUUGCUUGAUAUGCUUUUAGAACUUUUUCUUACCACCUUCUGGCAUCGUUGGAAUAGGUGUUUUAAGAUAUCUACCCUUGCUAUGAAGAGAACGAUAGUAUCGCAAAUUGAGUGAAGUGUGCUUAAUUGGUUUGUUAUUAUGUUUAUGCUUGAUUUGGAUCUUUGUAAUGAGUGCAAUGAUCUUGUGGGUUUGCUCCACAAUAUCAUUUAGUUUAUAGGCCUAAUAUCAUUUAGUUUAUAGGCCUAAGGUAUAAGGAGUAGUGAAAUAAGUAGUUGGGUUUGCCUAUCUCUUGUUUCUAUCCCUUGCUGAUUACCAGAGCAGUCUGCUAUAAUGCUAGUGUAUCUCAAGUUCUGAUUAUGCAAAGUUUAUCAAAAUUUUCUGGGAACAAAUAGACUUCAAGAUCUUUCCCUGACCGCAAGAAUCACCCUUAUAGCUAUUAUGGUUUAGAAGUUACAAAAAUCACAAGAUGAUACAACUGUGCUGCCAAGAAUCUGGAUCAGUUUUGGUUGCUUACUGUUUGAGACAAACAUAGCUAUAGAAUUUGGAAAAGUAUUCUAUAGAAAAGUUGUAGGCAAUUUUCUAUUUCCAACGGUAUAAGCUGGAACUUAUUUGGGUAAGUAAAACCUGAGAUAUGAUAUUUAUAAUUAGAUGUUUCUGUUCUGUUUCGAAAUCUGGACAGAUCUGGUAUUUCCUAUUUUCAGCCAAGUUAAAGUCAGAAUCUGGGAAAACAUUGUAUAUGAAAGUUGUAGAGGAUUUCCUAAGCUUUUCAAAAAUGUAUGGAUCAUCUCCAGAUGAGUUAAGUAGCUCGAGAUAUAACUUCUGGAAUUUACUACACCUUUGCUGAGACAUUAUCAGGAUGGAUAAUAUGUUUGGCUAUUUUACCUAAGUUAAAAGACAAAAUCUAAGGAGGUCUUCUACAUGAAAGUUGUAGGGAAUUUCAUAAGUUUUCUAAUUAUAUAAGCUACAGCUCUAUUGGAUUCACAGAAUAAGAGUUAUGUCUAUUUUACUACGCUGGUGUUUUUCAUAUCACGAGAAAGUUUCAGGAUAUUUGUUCUUCUCUUACACAUAAGUGCCUCGGGAUGUCAGAAGUUCUCAAUGUUAGUUAACUUGUGUUGAAAGUAUGCAAGCUACCUUUCUUGGUCCCCUAGUUGACUUUUCAUAAGGGGGUAGCCUAAUUAAAGAAGUUACAUAGAGAAAAAUUGGAUAAUGUUGGAUCAUAAGUGAAGAUCACAAGUGCUUGGUAAAUUGGUUUUGAUUCAGGAUAUCAUCCAAUUUAGAGAAUAUUAAUGGAGAUAUAUGUCAUUGCUGAUACUUAUGGAUUGAGAGUUAUGGUUAUGAGGAUCAGAUGACACCAAAGGUUACGAAGUUAUAUGUACAUUAUGAGAGUGAAACAACUUAGCCGUGAUAAAGGUACUGAUAAUUGGAACUUAGUGAUGAAACUAACCUUGGAUCAAGAGAAUCGGUACAACGGAUGUAAAAGACUAUGAUGUGUAGCGUCCAAAAAGGAUAGGAGAACUAGUCCUUAGUGUCCCCCAAUCAAUCUCAUUUUAAGGGGGGUAGCACCUAUAUCACGGGAUGAUGCAUUUUAAAAACUAUCUUGCAGAGAUAAUUGUCUUCUGAGAGGUUCUAUGGAUAUGAUCAUCUAUCCUUGCUGAGUCACUGACGUUGGUCACUCGAUGACAGGGAGUGUAGUGUCCCAUGGAUCAGGAGCAAAAUAUGACACCUCCCGUGGAUAUGUUGGAAGAUUAUGAUCAUCUGGCUUUUGAAGAAAGAUGUUAUGAGUAAUAGGUAUUCUACGGAAAAUUUUGUUCACGAGAUAAGACUAUAAGACAUAAGUGUUUAUCUUUGGAGUGCAAGUGGUGAAGUUGAAAUAGUUAUCAGUAUCUUUUCUUUUUUCUCUUUUGGAAUCCGUACCUCUUCCGAAUCUCGAGGACGAGAUUCAUUUUAAGAGGGUAGAAUUGUAACACCCUAAAAUUUUCUCCUUUCAAAGUAGAUGUAAAUUUAAGUAAUUUUGUAUUUUUAUGAUCAUAAAAAUAUAGGAAAAAUAAUAUUUUUAUUAAAUUAAAAUUUAUCAUAAGAUUUAGCAACAUUGUUGCGCAUACAUGCUGGUGCAUUCGAUUUGAUGUAAUGUUUGCUUGAUGCUUUUUUGUGUGUUGAGAGUGAGCAAAAUCUUUAGAAUGCGUUUAGUAGGUCGGUCUUCCUUCUGCGACAUAUCUUUAUCUUUUUGUACAAUAAAAUUCAUUGUUUCUCAGCUUAAGCUUUCGUUCAGAGCUUCUCAAAUCUUUUUGUUGUAACCCAAAUCACUCGUUUUAGUUCGUCAACCAUCAAGCAAUCUCUAUAAACUUCUCAGAAAUUUUUAUGGCCUUUUCCGUGGAGCAUAAUCUAAUUCUAGAUGCUCUAAAUUAUCUUAUUAUGAUCUCUAAAUACCUUAUUUGGGUUCCUCUUGUUCCAUUAUAUCUCAGAGAAUUUUUCCCAAAUUUUCGAAGGUUGCGGAUAAUUUUUUUCUGGCUCAAAUAGUAAUUGUAGACUUUUCUAGAUAUUUUACCCAUAAAAUUAAUUAAUUCCAAAAAUAAUUGAUCCUAAUUCUAAUCUAUCUCAAACCAAGUCUUUUGGUUCAUUAAUUAAUGGAUCAAGGCCAGUUACCUCCAAUAGUCUAGCACGUGCCAGCCCAAAGAAAUCCAUUGCUUCGUUUUUUUCUAUCCUACUCGCAAACAUGGGCUUCUGGGCAUAUUAUAUAUAUUUAUACACCCAUAUUAGUUGAUGCCUAGGGCAGUAUAACCUUGUUGCCGCUGCCGUAUCGAGGCCGGCGCCGUACGACAACUUUGCCGUCGUCAAGCUAUAGAUCAUCCCGACGAGAUCGUCAUCUUCAUCCACUGAUUUUCCACCGAGCAAGGUAGAUCACAUCUGCUCUGUCUUGCCUAUUGAAUCAACAAGCUAAUAAGCUUCUUCACGUACUGAACAAGGAUGCCGGCUUGCUGCAGAUCACAUCCGCGAAGUCCACAAAUAAGGGCAGAUCGAAUGACGCCGCGAACGGCAGGAGUGCCGCCGGCGUCUGCGAUUUGUGAACCACCAUCAUGGGACGUUGUCAUCUAUUCUACAUACAGCCAUCACCACUACAAAUUCCGUUAGAUCAUCUCCCAUCUCACCUGAUCCAAGCCUCCAUCUUUGGUAUGCAUGCGAAUCUGCCGAUGAGAAGACCAUACCGUGGACUUUGCAAGUAGGUUCACGUCGUCCCUCAUCUGGACUUUCUAUUGAUCUCUUUCUCAAAUGUCUAACUGUUAGUUCCUUUAUCCUUUUGUGUCAUGUCACAAGCCAUAUAUGCCAGUUGUUUCCCUAACGUGCUUUGGAUCCUACCCAUCUGCCGCAGUUGCCGACCAUAUGUGGCGUCGCCUGCCAAUAUGCCAUAGUUGUGCCGGUCUUGUCUGGUCACCAUGGCCAUGCUCCAGCCCUUGCCCGAGACGAUGAGGAAGCCAGGAUUGUCUGCCAGCUGCCAACUGUUCCAACUAGCAAGCAAAUUCGACAUAUUCUUAUUCGUGUUCACGUUAGGCACAUGCAGGCCAAGCUUCAUGCUCUGUACAAGCCAAUCAAACUUCUAGGCUGCCAAUUCAUCUUUGGUCAGUGGAGGUACAUGAGCAGAGAUCACGGGGAAAACUACUUAACUUUCUAUCCAUUCAGUGUCUUUCCGUAUGGAUACAGAUCCUUGUAGUCCAAUCUUGGCAUCUUUAAUCCAAGUCGUUUAUGAUCCGUUCUCUUUUGUUGUGUACUUUUGCUAACGUGAGAUAUAUAUUAGCAGCUAAGCUGAGCAUGCCACGUACUACUAAAUUUUAAAUUGAAUACUAAUUUGUUUAAUACGCAUACAGAAAGCUUUUCCAAUUAAAAAAACAUAGGGUUAUCUUUGAUGUUUGUACAUAAAUAUUAAUAUGAUUAAUUAAUAUUAAUAAUAUAACUGUGUUGUUAAAUUGUAAAUUCCUUAGUUUAAACACCCCUUGUAUAAAUUGAUUAAAGGCUCUCAUAUAUUUAUUUCUUUUGCAAACUGAAGUGUAAAUGACUUUAAUAGUACGCGACAUAUUUGUAAAUAAAUUAAAAAUGAUUAGUUUUAAGCCUGGCUUUUCAAUUUCAUGCAUGUGACUAAUCUCAAUAAAAAUUCUUAUAAUCUUGCUUACUUAAAAUAAAUCAAGUUAGUGGUGGUUUCUUUUCUUUUACAAUUUAAAUUAUUCCGUAGUUGUUUCUUAUUCCGAUAAGAGUACUUUUUACUUCUGGGUGCUCGUAGCAAUGCGUAGAUUAGUUUUUAAACCUUUCUAUUGAUUGGUGUAUUGUUCUAAAUUUAUUAUGUUUGCUAUGCAUGUUUGUUCGGAUGCUUGUGUGGUAUGAUCCUGUCUAGUCGGCCAGUUUUAUGUGGUGAACAAGAGUACUUUAGUGAUCAAGAUCAGAGCCUUGGACAAGUAAGACCACCUGAACCAAAAGGGUCAGCAAGAGCAAUUGAAUUAAGGCAAGUAUAGCAUUUGGAUUUUAUUUCUGUGACCAUGAUCCUGUGACUAGAUUAAUGUUAAGUAAUAAAUGAUAAAAAUGACUUUUUAGCAACUUGAUGAUUUAUCUGUACGUGAUCACCGGGGACAACAGUGCAACCAUGAGGGCUAUAAUGGCUCUGGCUUUAGCUCAGUAUGAAGACCUUUUCUAGCUUGUUAGAGGUUACCCGAAAGGGCGCUAGAGGGGCUGAACCGACACGGGUAUAGUGCGAGCCCCAGUCCCUAUGUGUAUAGGCUGCGCGUCAUUGUGCCAUUCGGAAGGGGGGUAUCUAUAUCUGCUCGCGAAGGAAACCUUGCGGCCCUAACAUGUUAGACGAACUUUUGAAAGGCUUCAUAGUGAUCCCUGCCGACCUUCCUUGGUAGUGGGUUAAGAGGUCGACGGGCCUCGGGCGAAAGGGUAAAUCAUGACUCAUGGGUAAAGAUGUACAACCUCUGCAGAGUGUUAAAAACUAGUAUACUAGCCGAGCUCACGGUCAGGAGCGGCCUUGGGGACAUCUACAUUAAGGGCGAUGAUUCUUGUGUGUUAAUAUGUUCAUUAUUAUUGUUUAAUGCUCUACAUUAUUUAUAUCACAUUGAUCAUGAGAUUGUGGGAGCUAUAUAAUCUAGUUGCUAUACUUGUGGAGUUCGACAUGGACUCACUCUUGCUAUUUCCCCCACACUUCAGGAGAUGGUUUAGGCUUGUGAUCAACCAGUCAGUUGGAUCCUGUAGAGAGAAGUUAAUACCCGAAGUUUGGAGUUGUCUAUCCGCUGUUUGUUAUCAAAGGUUAUCUCUUUUAUACUAAGUACGUUAUAUAUUUGUGCAUUGUCUUUUGAUAUUACCCCUUAUUUGUAGCUAUAUGUGAGAUUUGACCUCUAAAACUCACAUAUGGUGCAUAUCUGAUUUUGUCCUUAAAAUCGGGUAUUACAGCAGCACCCUGACAGCGAUUAGGAUGUCCUCCGUCUGCUAGUCUUCUUUGAUCCUUAAAUUCUGUGGAGCUCAAAUAGACAACAAAGCUUUGUGGAACCGGUUAAGUGUUAGCAUAAAAAUCUCUUUGCCUUUAUCAUGUUGAGCUUCCUCUAAUAAACUCUCUUUGGUAGGAUCAUAAAUUUAUUUUUAUAUUUUCAUUUUUAUAGGAUAGGAAUAUAUUUAUUUUAUUUUUACGCCACCACAGUGAAUGUACUUAUGGGUUUUAUGCCACGAGCAUACUCACAUGGGGCUUACUAUUUUUAAACAUUUUUAAUUGCUUUUCAAGAUAGCAUAAUCAACUAACAAGCUAUUUAAGGAAAGUAAAUAAUUAAAGGGAAAAGGGAAUGCAGAAAGGAUAAAUAUGGAUAACUACCGAUUUUACCUUUCGGCGAGGGUUCAAUGUUUUAAGUCUUCUGAACAAGACUUCUCACCGUGUUCAUUCUUCAGGUGCGUCAUUUGAUUCAGGUGCGGACCUGGACGUAUACACCUCUUGAUACGGUGUCACCCAUGUUCUUCGUUUGCACAGCAGUUCGAAGUGCGGUGUUGGUAGUAUCUUGCUCAGUGUGUUUGUGCUCGUAGAUCCAGGUCUUUCACUUGGUGGAAUCUGGGAGUUGUAAAACUCCACCAUGUUUUGCUCCAAGUGUACCUGCUCAUAGAGACAAGACAGAGAUCAAGUGCAUGGGUCCUGUUGGUGGAAAACACCAACAGAACUAAAAGUGUAUUUGUUCUUCUCUAACCUUAAGCAUAGUGAGCAAGACAAAGUUGAUGGAUGAUAAGUUCAUGAGUGUAGUACUUAUAACAUUUGUCAGAUCAGAUUGCUUCAACCUUACGGAAAGAUAAUCUAUCUAUAUAUGUCUUUUUCUUUAUAUCUCUCAAAGAUUGAAUGUGCAAUAUUUUAGCUCAUAUGAUUAGGAGUGUGGGAUCACAAAAGUGGAAGGACUAAACAUGUUGAAUCGAUUGGGUUAGUUAACCUAGAGCUGUAAAUCAUACAUGUUUGUCUCUUUUAUUCAUAUGAACACCAAAACCAAGGAGAAGCUUAUAAAAGUGAUAGCCAAGUAUCUUAAGGUGUUACCUUACUUGAAGAGUGAUGGUACAGUAUCACCUUGUGGAAGCUUUACUUUCUUAGCGAUUGUUCAUCUUGGUUAUGUACUUUGUCUCCUUCCGUGGAUCAUCUCUCUAUGAUGAAUGAGCUAUGUCCUCCUUGUGUAAAUUGUUAAACUUCAUGUGUCCCUCUCCUUGUCUCCAAUGUGAGUUUAUCUCAGGACUUCCCAGGUUGAUAUUGAAAGUUUUCCUGCAGGGGUUAGUCCGACAAAAUAUACCAAUAUCUACUCAAGCAGUUUUUAGUUCAAUAACCAAACUAGACUCCAUGUCUAAUCAGAUUAAGGAAGGCUGUUUAACCUAAGCACCAUGCUUAAUUUAAAAGCCAAUAGAAGUAUGUGCAGUACUUCCAAACUAACACUUACUAGGAUAAACAAAGGUAGCGUGAUGGCAUUUAUAGAGAUCUACUCAAGUGGAGAUGAAGUAGUGUGAUUAGUAUUUAACAAAUUGAGCAUGUCUCAAAGGUAGGGACAACCAACAUAGCAACAUGGCAAAGGAUGUUUUUAUGUAAAGUACUCCCCAAGCUUGAAUUUUUCAAAAUUCAAGUUUGGAUGAAUUUAAUUCAAUGUUGUAUGAUGAUCGGUUGGACAUGCUGUAACAUCCCUGAUGUUACGGUUAAUAAAAACGGAUCAUGUCAUCAUAAGCAUUGCAAAGCAUAAUUGUUAAAGCACAGUAGUAUGCAUCAACUUAAAAUAAGUUUACUUUGAUUGCUUGAGCUUAGGGAAGUAGAGUGUGCUUUUGUGGUGUGUUGUUGCUUGUGUGGUUGCUAAAACCCUAGGGUGGAAGUUUUCCGAAGAGCUAGGGGGGGAAAACCCUGAUUUCUGGAUCCUAGAUUUGCCCCUUUUUGUAUAAUUCAAAAACUAAGCAAAAUUUGAGGUUGAGUUCAAAAGCAAAGUUGUAGAUCUUGGCAAGAUGUACAACUUUGGUGUUUUGAGUCUUUGAAGUUUCAAUACAAAAUUCAAAGUAAUUUUGAAAAUACAGAUUUCCAGAAAGUGUCCCCUUUUCCAACUUAAAUUCCCAAUUCAAAAUCCAUUUGGAAUUUUGAAAAGUGGUCAACAUGAAAGUUGUAGAGCACAAAAAGUUGAGCAACUUUCAUGUUGGGAGUUUUUCAAGUUGUUAUACAAAAUCAAAAGUAAUUUUGGAAAUUCUGUUUUGCCCCAAUUCAAAAAUUUGGAAUUUCUUUGAUUUGAGUUUGAUUUUCAAACUGUUUGGCCAAAUUCACCCUGUUAUACUCAAAAUCAGCUCUGGUCACCAAAACAUGUUUUGUAGCUUAUAAAAUUUGGAACAACUUUUGUUUCGGUGAAAUUUCGGCUCCAGUUCAAAUUUUGGCUGAAUUUUGCAAAACAACAGAGCAAGUGGAUAUGGACUGCUACAGUGCUGAGCAGGGGGGGGUGCUCUGCCGCCGGAGCAGAGCCGCUACGUCCGGCACCGCCACGCGCCUGGCCACGCAGCUGCUUGGCUGCGCGCGCCCGCCGUGAUGUGGACGAGCCCCAGCGUGCUCAUCCACUCCCCUGCUGCUUCCACUGCACGGCCGCCUCGCUUCUCCCUUUUACGCCCGACACCGACGACCCGGCCGCGCCUUCAAUUUCACCGCACUCAAUCCCUUUCGAGCCAAAUUGAGCACUCCACAACGUUCGCCACGCCCUUGCGAACUCAGCGCACCCCUAUCUCUUUCUCUAACCCACCCAGUCGCCAGAACUUCUCUGUUCUUCCCCAACAUCGGCCGAGACCGCCGCCGUGAGCUCUCUCCGUGGCCACGCUAUUCCAGUGAGCAAAAUACCGAACUAGUGGAUGUUUCCGGUUCCACUUUAUCCCCAGAAGCUCAUGCGCUUCCUCUUUUUCCCAAGACGCGAACAGGAUCGCCGGAACAACUUCGCCGGAGCCGGAGCACCCGCCUGACCGCACGGCCACCGUCGCCAAGCUUUUCUACUGCUUCUCCCGUCGUGGUGAUGUGAGCACCAUGUCCCUUACCCUCCAUGGAAGCUCCCUUGCAUGUUAAUUUACACUCUACCAAGCCCUAAGGGCCGGUCCGCGGUCGGCUAUGGCGGCCGCCCGCCUUUCGCGUAGCCGAAGUGGGAGGGAGAGAGUAGAGCGUGAGUGGAGGGUGACAACAGGGUCGCGAAGACGAGGCGAGGCCGAUGCGCAUGCGUGCGGGAGCCAAGGACCUCGCUAACGGCGGCCGGAGCCGUGGCCGAGCCGCCGUGCGCGGUAGAGACGAAGCUGACGGGUGGGGCAUCCCCGUCAGCGUCCCGCGAAGAGGGGAGAGGGGGGGUCUGACGAGCGGGACCCGCCCGUCAGUGACCCGCAGAGAGAGGAGGGAGCAGCCCACAUGGCGCGCGCGUGGGCCGAACGGGAAUGGGCCGGCCUGCAGGCCGAUUUCCCGGCCACUCGCUGCACAGUACUGUUUUUCUUUUUCUUUUUGUGCAGUUUUUGAGUUAUGUUUGAAUUUAUGUAAUAAUUCGUGUGCUAAUCCAAAAAUCGUGGAAAUUUUUGUGUAGGCUCUCUGAAGUAAGUAGAACCCAAGAAAAAUAUUAAGUUCUGUUUUCUGGUAGUUUACAUGUCUGUAAAAAUCUGCCCUUUUAAUUAGCAAAUAAAACUUGUAUGAAUUUUAAUAAUUUAUUUGUAUGUCCAAAAAUCACCAAAAAUUGUGGGGAGCCUCUGAAUAUUAUUCCCUGGCUCCACCUAAAAUUUGGUGGCAUUUGGAUAAGGUUUGGUUAAAAUGUUAAUAAACCCUUAUUUAGUAUUUAAUUAAUCAUUCCAAAAUAAGUAAAUAGUGAUUAACUAAAAUCCUCAUAUUUAGGGUUGAGUGAUUUUGGGAUUGUGUGAUGACCUGAGGUCAUUAACUCUAAUGACCUCUGGCAGUUAAUUAUUGUUUAGCCUUAAUGCUUAAUUACUGUCAUUAGUAAUUAAUUAAGAAUUAAUUAAGGUAAAUAGGUUUAAUAAUUACUUAAUUUAAGAUAAUUAUGAAUUAAGUAAAUUCUUAGUUUACAGAUGCAACCUCUUGGGUAAAAAUAUUAAAUUAUUAAACAACUUUAUUUAUUGAUUUUCUGUAUUGCAUUGGGAAGACAAAUUGUACUUAAUUCGGUCCAUCUUGCAUAAUUGCCAUACGCAUAAGCAUUCAUCAUUUUGCGUAUAGUGUCCGUGACCGAAGGAGCGCCCGUUGAACCGAACCCCGAGGUCGGUGCUCCGUUCGAGGAAGUCGGAUCCGAGACUUGGGAAGUCUCCGAGGGUCCCUCUCUGCCCUGCAACCAAGGCAAGCCCCGGAUGCAUUAACCCCUCCUUGGAUGUUUUAAAUCUUUUAUCACUUAUGAAUUGAAAAUGCUGCAUUAGGUAGUUGAGAAUUGGGUUAACCUACUUGCUGCAUUUACUACCUUGAUAUCUGUAUCCUGUCCUUAACACCUGUUUUAUUUUAACACUGCGUAGCGAUGCUUAGCCCUGCUACUAGAUAGGUUUUCAACAAGAAAGUUUGAAGGGUUGUUGUGGGAUACACUUAUGAUCAAUGAUGUUUCAAUUUGAGACCGGUCGGUGGACUUGCUUUAAGAAUGGAGUCUUAAAGUAGUGUCUCCAACUGUGUCGGUUAAGGACCGGUCCGUUGAUGGCCUGCUGGGUUGAGAAUUUGUAGUACUAGCCACUUGCCCUCGGUAAGCCCGGUCUUGUGAUCCCUCGACGCGAACAGCUACUCGCGCACUGGGAGUGGAAAGAUGGCGAGAGUAGUGUGUACCCACCUUACGGAUCUGAGAUGACCGGAAAACAUCUAGAUCGGCUGUAGGAUGGUGGAGUACUGUGCUCUCGGGUGCCGCGAACCUGGUCAAAUUUGGGGAGAGCUUGAUUUGGGUUGAUAUAUGCAAGAUUUGGUUCUACAUAUGUCGGGUGGUUAGGAACUCCAGUUGGAUUGUUAAGCGAUUCGAAUCGUCGUUGCUCCCCGAUUGGGAGACUCAAUUCCUUCGACCCUCAUCGUAGUUAAAUAUGCAACUAAGUGAUAAAAUGAGAAAGGGGAAAAUGUCUCAUGAGGUUCGGAUCCCAAUUCCCGGACUCAUAGCGACAUGAAGCUAUGGCCAUCAAUAAAUAAUACUUAAUGAUAGGACUAGGAACUCACGGAUUCGUCUGUGGGGAACAACUAGUUAGACUAUCCUCGAAUUCUUCUGCCUCCGCGAGGGAGGAAUUCAGGGUAAAACUUGAAAAUAAGGAUGCACUACUAGUAAGCUUUUCCGCAAAACACUUUGGCUCCUUGCUCAGCCACCCCUUGUCUACCUUAAGCCUGCAUCCCUAAAUUCUCCUCUUUUCCCGUCGGAUAAGUCUUGUUGAGUACUCCCGUACUCAGGGUUUCAAUACCCCUGUUGCAGGUGAAGCUCAGGAGCCGACUUGUUUCGGACCCUGUUGUGUGACCGUCGUUGAGGCUGACGACGAAGAGGAGUGAGCGUGACCCAUGGGCAGGGUCUGUAAAUUUGUUCUGUCUGUACUAAAGCUUCAGUUGCUCCGCUGGACCAGGCUUGUAAUAACACUCUACUAUUUGGAAGAACUUCUUUUAUAAAUUAAGUUAUGUAAUACUUCCGCUGUUUCACUCUGAAAUAUUAUUUUGGUCUUGUGUUGUUGAGUUACUGCUUUAUCUUCGCAACGAAUGAUCCUGGUGUUAAGGUGGCCACUUGCUAUCCUGUAAGGGCGAGAAGAAACAGUUCUCGUGGUUUGACCAUUAUCAGUGGUCAGGUCGAGCCAGCUUGGUACGCCACAGGUAGCAGUGGAAUGAGCACACAGUAAGGCUCAUCGGACUUCUAAAGUGGGAGGACUUCCGGCACCACCGUCAGAGGUCCUUGGGACAAUGGCAGGUGUCGGUGGGCCCAAACACUUAAGGGGUUCUGCCACAGCUGGUAUCAGAGCAUUCGUUGCUAAGAUGACUGCUGAACCUUUUGAAAAACUUCAAAAAAAUUCGUUUGGAACUAAUACUAUGAAUCUGCUUAUUUUGAGUCCAAGUGCUUAGUCCUAACCUACCCCUGUCUAUAGGUUUUCUUAGAAUUAUUGAAGUGGUUUGGAGGAGCAACCUAAGGUAUUGCCCUAUGUUGUAAAAGUUUAAAGUAAUAUCGUUACGAAUUGUUAGUAGGAAUCGUAAGUUCGUGCAUGCAUCAUAAUGUAUUAACUGGUUAAGUUCCUUCCUCCUUGUUUGGGUUGGGUGAAUAGAAUCAAUCCUAUUCUUGCUAACCUUUAAGGUCUCUCUUACUCAUCUAAACUUACCCUCUACAGGAUGGCUCGUCAGAAGCAGACCCCGCGUAAGCGGACGGGUCCAAAAGGAGUUCCCCGACAUCAGCUAGCUCCACGCAGUGAUCAAGCCAGUAGUAGCCGUACACCGCCUCAGCAGGAGGUGGACAGAUUGUCCGCCGAGUUGACUGAGGUGAUGAGAGAGAGAAUGUACAAUGUUAUGGAGAUUGGCAAACUUAAAGCUCAACUGGCCAAAGAAAAACGAGCCACAGAGAACUGUGAAGCUAUGUUGUCCCGGAUGGUGGAGGAGCGGAAUGCAGCCAUUGCCCGAGAGGAAGAAGCUAGGAGCACCCAUAGGCAUGAGCUAACUAGGAUGAACGCAAAGUUGGGCAAGGCAAAGUAUCUUAAGGAUUUGUAUGUGAAGAUGGCGGCCACGGUCACCGCACAACGGGAUGUCGCGUGGCAACGAGAGGACCAGCUCCAGCUGGAGAAACUAGAGCUGGCAUAUCACUUAGAUACAGUCAAUGAUCUGGCUAUGCAAUAUCGUGAUAUUGCAUUUGAUCUGUAUCAUCAACUCCACCCACCUCCCGGCGAAGGAGAAAUGGAUACGGAUGGCGAGUUGGCAGACGAUGGAGAACCCGAUCCCGGCCUCAGUGAUGAAGAGGAGUCCGACCCCGAUGACCACAACCCAGGGGGUAAUCAAGAUGAUGGCAACGACGACCCGGGCUACAGCUCUGGCCACACCGAUUAGUUCGGUGAAACCAAGGGCAACGUCGUUGUAGGGGUCUUAGCUUGCCGUAGUGGGGUUCGGGUUUGUAAUAUAAGUUUUCUUUCGGUUUGAGAAGUUGAACUUGCUUACUCUUGGUGUGUAUCUAACUGAUGUUUAAUAAGUGAAUGGAAGAAUGUAAGAUAUGUGCUGUGUUAUGAAUUCUACGUGGUAACAGGUAUCUACGAUUCUUGUAACAGAUGCCGAUGCGUACUCGCGGAUCCGAUGGAGCUGGGACAUCCCAGGGAGGGGAUGAUAUCCCCAACCCUCCACCUGCUCCACCUUCUUUGGCUGACGCCAUUGCUGUCCUGCUAAGUGCCACAACUGACAAUGCUCGCUUGCUGCGCGAGCUAGCACAGCGUCAACCAUACUCUGCUCCAAACAUCAGAGCACCGCGCAACGGGGAUGGAGAGGCUCGGUAUGUGGAUUUUACCGAGACCAGGCCCCCGGUGUUCACUAAGGCCGAUGAGCCUUUAGAAGCGGAUGACUGGCUCCGAACUAUGGAGCAUAAGUUCAGUUUAAUUCAGUGUUCAGAAACUCAGAAACCCUUAUUUGCAGCCCAGCAGCUUCGGGGAGCUGCAGGUGCCUGGUGGGAGAACUUCUUAGCUAUUCAAGCUCCCGGACACCAAGUUACCUGGACCGAGUUUAGGGACGCGUUCCGCGCCCACUACAUCCCCGAAGGGCUCAUGGCCAUGAAGGCCGAAGAGUUUCUCGCCUUGCAGCAAGGCGACAAAAGUGUUAUGGAAUACGUGGCAAGGUUUAAUCAUCUUUCUCAAUAUGCCACGGAUCAUGUGAACACUGACAGAAAGAGGAAAGCCUGUUUCAUGCGUGGUCUAAAUACUAAACUUCAGACCAUGAUGACCACUUGCCAAAAUGCUACUUUCUAUGAGGCAGUAAAUAUUGCUAUCGCCUCAGAGGAAAAGAAUAGGAAACAUAAGGAAGCCAAGAAGAAGGCUGCUUCCUCUUCUUUCUCUGGUCGCGGUCAAAAGCGCCAGAGGAUCAUUUAUCAUCCACAGGGCCACGGACGUUUCCAAACGCCGUUACCUUAUCGUGGUCCUUUCUCCCCUCCACAGUACAGACCCGGGCAGCAGGUAUAUUCUCGACCUACUGCCAUCGCUUUUGCACCACGCCAGCCGAACGCCCCGGGUGUUCGCCCUACUGCUCCGCCCAGCCACAAUUACCCUUGCUUCAAUUGUGGUAAACCUGAGCAUUUCUCUAAAGAGUGCCCUUUUCCCCGUCAAACCAACCCUACCUUUCCAAGGCCACCUAUGGGCCAACCCCAGACGGGUCAGUUCAGAACUGGGGUUCAAAAAGGGCAACAGGUACAGAAAGGUAGACCGGUAAAGAAGACAGGGCAAGUCUUCCAUACUGAAGUGGAGACAAUUCCAGAGGGUGAACCAGUGAUGAUGGGUACGUUUCCUGUUGCGAAGCAACCUACUUUAAUGCUCUUUGAUUCUGGUGCAUCCCAUACAUUUAUCAAUCGCACCUUUGUGUUAAAGCAUGGCAUACCCAUUGGGGAAACACAAGAUCAUUUUUAUAUACAGUCGCCAGGAGGACGGCUGAUGUCUAAAGAAAUGGUUCACCAAGUACCCAUCGAAUUUGGUGGGCACAAUUUUCCUACUAGCAUGAUUGUUCUUAAGGACCAAGAAAUUGAUGUUAUCUUAGGCAUGAACUGGAUGGCGCAACGAGGGGUUGUGCUAGACACUUUGCACCGAACCAUUAAAAUCCCAUUGCCCAAUGAGAGUUCUUAUUUGCUAAUCCAAUUAGUUACUCCCAAACGGACAAUUGGGCAAGUUCAUGCCGCUAAUGUGUCUGAAGUUAAAGAUAUCCCGGUAGUUCGCGAUUUCCCGGAUGUAUUUCCUGAAGACUUACCAGGUCUGCCUCCGGACCGGGAUGUACAAUUCAGUAUAGAAUUGAAACCGGGAACGGCCCCAAUAUCUCGAAGGGCCUACAGAAUGGCACCGAAAGAGCUGGCCGAAUUAAAAACCCAAUUACAAGAAUUGUUGCAGAAGGGUUUUAUUCAGCCCAGUUCUUCUCCAUGGGGUUGCCCAGCCUUGUUUGUGAAGAAGAAAGAUCAGACAUUAAGGCUGUGUGUCGACUAUCGUCCUCUAAAUGAGGUAACGAUUAAAAACAAGUACCCAUUGCCCCGCAUUGACUUAUUGUUUGACCAGUUAGCUGGGGCCAAAGUGUUCUCAAAAAUUGAUUUGAGAUCAGGGUACCAUCAAAUCAAAAUUAGGCCGGAAGAUGUGCCCAAGACUGCUUUCACAACCCGUUACGGGCUGUAUGAAUACUUGGUGAUGUCUUUUGGGUUGACCAAUGCACCGGCCCAUUUUAUGUACUUGAUGAACUCUGUCUUUAUGCCAGAACUAGACAAAUUUGUGGUCGUCUUCAUCGAUGACAUCUUGAUUUACUCCAAAACUAAGAAGGAGCAUGCUGAACACUUGAGAAUCGUGCUGACCCGUCUCAGGGAGCAUCAGCUAUAUGCCAAGUUCAGCAAAUGUGAGUUCUGGCUGGACAAAGUUCAUUUCCUGGGUCAUGUAUUAUCAGCGGAAGGAGUCGCUGUAGACCCAGGCAAGGUAGAAGAUGUGUUGAAUUGGAAACCCCCGACUACGGUACAUGAGGUCCGUAGUUUUCUGGGCAUGGCGGGAUAUUACCGUCGUUUUAUCCCGGACUUUUCCAGAGUCGCCAAACCAAUCACAACCUUGCUCAAAAGUCAAACAAAAUUUGUUUGGUCACCCCAAUGUGAGCAAGCUUUUCAGGCUCUGAAAAGGUUGUUGACAACUGCACCUGUCUUAGCCCAGCCAGAUAUUGAAAAACCCUUUGAUGUAUAUUGUGACGCAUCAGGAAUCGGGUUAGGCUGUGUGCUGAUGCAGGAGGGUCGCGUAAUUGCAUAUGCUUCCAGGCAACUCAAACCUCAUGAAGAGAAUUACCCGACCUAUGAUCUCGAACUAGCCGCCGUAGUACAUGCAUUGAAGAUCUGGCGUCAUUAUUUGUUGGGAAACACAUGUCAUCUAUAUACAGAUCACAAAAGCUUGAAGUAUAUCUUUACUCAAGCUGAGCUUAAUAUGCGCCAGCGAAGGUGGCUAGAACUAAUCAAAGAUUACGACCUUGAGGUGCAUUAUCACCCUGGCAAGGCAAAUGUAGUAGCGGAUGCUCUCAGUCGUAAGGCUCACUGUAAUUGCUUAACAGUGAAGCCUAGGGAUAUAACUUUGUGCCAAGAGCUAGAGAACUUGGGAAUAGAAAUGAUUUCCCAAGGAAGCCUUUCCAAUUUAAAGAUUGAUUUCAAUCUCGAGGCUCAAAUCAUAAAGGCACAAAAAGAAAACAAAGGCAUGAGACAUCUUAAAGAGAAGAUUUCUAAUAGAGCACUCACAGACUUUAAGGUGGAUGAGGCGGGAGUAAUCUGGUUCAAGAACCGGUUAGUGGUCCCAAAGGUAUCUGAGCUACGUCAGCAAAUCCUGGAUGAAGCUCAUACCACGAGGUAUUCUAUUCAUCCGGGAAGCAAUAAAAUGUAUCAGGACCUGAAGCAAAGGUUUUGGUGGACAAAAAUGAAGAUAGAAAUAGCUCGCUAUGUGGCCCAGUGUGACACCUGUCGAAAGGUCAAAGCCAUUCAUCUCAAAUCCGCUGGGGAGUUGCAACCUUUGCCUAUCCCCGCAUGGAAAUGGGAUGACAUAAGUAUGGAUUUCAUAGUAGGAUUGCCCAAGACGGCCAAGGGCUUUGAUUCCAUUUGGGUCAUAGUAGAUCGUCUCACCAAAACAGCACAUUUUCUGCCGGUGAAGCUAUUGUAUCCUGCCUCCACCUAUGCUAAGAUUUAUUUUGACCGUAUUCUAAGUCUGCAUGGAGUGCCAAAGACAAUAGUGUCAGAUAGAGGCACCCAAUUUGUCUCCCAAUUCUGGAAAUGUUUACAUGAGUCCUUGGGCACUAAGCUUUUAUACAGCACAGCCUACCACCCUCAAACCGGUGGGCAAACUGAAAGGGUGAAUCAAACCCUAGAAGAUCUAUUGAGAUCUUGUGCCCUGAAUUUUCCAAAUAAAUGGGAUGACUGCUUGCCUCUAGCAGAAUUUUCCUACAAUAAUAGCUAUCAGGAGAGUAUCAAAAUGGCUCCCUUUGAGGCACUGUACGGUCGCCGAUGUCGAACUCCGUUACACUGGUCAGAACCUGGAGAAAGAUGGUUCUUCGGAGUUGACUUAGUGAAAGAGACUGAGAACAAAGUGAAACAAAUCCAAAAUAAUUUGAAAGUUGCUCAGUCCCGACAGAAAAGUUACGCUGAUAAAAGACGUCGACCAUUAAGGUUCACCAAAGGUGAUCAUGUGUAUUUGAAAGUAUCCCCAAUGAAAGGAGUAAAUCGUUUUGGUGUUAAAGGCAAGUUAGCGCCUCGUUACAUUGGUCCAUUUCCAAUUAUUGACCGAUGUGGGCAGGUCGCUUACCGCCUUAAACUGCCCGAACGAUUAUCCGGGGUACAUAAUGUGUUCCAUGUGUCUCAACUGAAAAGGUGUCUUCGGGUACCAGAUCGAGUUCAAGAUAUUGAAGAUGUAAAGCUUGAACCAGAUCUAACUUAUUCGGAAUAUCCUAUCCGAGUACUGGAUCAAAAAGCUAGAGUUACUCGAAGGACAACCACCAAAUGGUAUAAAGUACAAUGGAGCCAGCACUCUGAAGAAGAAGCCACAUGGGAAUCUGAAGAUUACUUGUUAGAGAAUUUUCCUGAAUUCUAUGCUUCUCUUCAGGACAAUAUAUGAUAACCAGAGAAUGUACUCUAGUGAAGAAAAAGAGUUACCAAAGCCAUGUACUUAAUGUACCUAUAUGCAUAUAGUGAAGUAUUUUCCCCAACUCCUUGCCUUAUGGAAAAGUUGAAGAUGAAAGAGUUUUGACAAAUUUCCUUUUCCAUUACUUACCCUAAGGUUUUAAAUCUCGGGGACGAGAUUUCUUUAAGGGGGAAGGGCUGUAACAUCCCUGAUGUUACGGUUAAUAAAAACGGAUCAUGUCAUCAUAAGCAUUGCAAAGCAUAAUUGUUAAAGCACAGUAGUAUGCAUCAACUUAAAAUAAGUUUACUUUGAUUGCUUGAGCUUAGGGAAGUAGAGUGUGCUUUUGUGGUGUGUUGUUGCUUGUGUGGUUGCUAAAACCCUAGGGUGGAAGUUUUCCGAAGAGCUAGGGGGGGGAAAACCCUGAUUUCUGGAUCCUAGAUUUGCCCCUUUUUGUAUAAUUCAAAAACUAAGCAAAAUUUGAGGUUGAGUUCAAAAGCAAAGUUGUAGAUCUUGGCAAGAUGUACAACUUUGGUGUUUUGAGUCUUUGAAGUUUCAAUACAAAAUUCAAAGUAAUUUUGAAAAUACAGAUUUCCAGAAAGUGUCCCCUUUUCCAACUUAAAUUCCCAAUUCAAAAUCCAUUUGGAAUUUUGAAAAGUGGUCAACAUGAAAGUUGUAGAGCACAAAAAGUUGAGCAACUUUCAUGUUGGGAGUUUUUCAAGUUGUUAUACAAAAUCAAAAGUAAUUUUGGAAAUUCUGUUUUGCCCCAAUUCAAAAAUUUGGAAUUUCUUUGAUUUGAGUUUGAUUUUCAAACUGUUUGGCCAAAUUCACCCUGUUAUACUCAAAAUCAGCUCUGGUCACCAAAACAUGUUUUGUAGCUUAUAAAAUUUGGAACAACUUUUGUUUCGGUGAAAUUUCGGCUCCAGUUCAAAUUUUGGCUGAAUUUUGCAAAACAACAGAGCAAGUGGAUAUGGACUGCUACAGUGCUGAGCAGGGGGGGGUGCUCUGCCGCCGGAGCAGAGCCGCUACGUCCGGCACCGCCACGCGCCUGGCCACGCAGCUGCUUGGCUGCGCGCGCCCGCCGUGAUGUGGACGAGCCCCAGCGUGCUCAUCCACUCCCCUGCUGCUUCCACUGCACGGCCGCCUCGCUUCUCCCUUUUACGCCCGACACCGACGACCCGGCCGCGCCUUCAAUUUCACCGCACUCAAUCCCUUUCGAGCCAAAUUGAGCACUCCACAACGUUCGCCACGCCCUUGCGAACUCAGCACACCCCUAUCUCUUUCUCUAACCCACCCAGUCGCCAGAACUUCUCUGUUCUUCCCCAACAUCGGCCGAGACCGCCGCCGUGAGCUCUCUCCGUGGCCACGCUAUUCCAGUGAGCAAAAUACCGAACUAGUGGAUGUUUCCGGUUCCACUUUAUCCCCAGAAGCUCAUGCGCUUCCUCUUUUUCCCAAGACGCGAACAGGAUCGCCGGAACAACUUCGCCGGAGCCGGAGCACCCGCCUGACCGCACGGCCACCGUCGCCAAGCUUUUCUACUGCUUCUCCCGUCGUGGUGAUGUGAGCACCAUGUCCCUUACCCUCCAUGGAAGCUCCCUUGCAUGUUAAUUUACACUCUACCAAGCCCUAAGGGCCGGUCCGCGGUCGGCUAUGGCGGCCGCCCGCCUUUCGCGUAGCCGAAGUGGGAGGGAGAGAGUAGAGCGUGAGUGGAGGGUGACAACAGGGUCGCGAAGACGAGGCGAGGCCGAUGCGCAUGCGUGCGGGAGCCAAGGACCUCGCUAACGGCGGCCGGAGCCGUGGCCGAGCCGCCGUGCGCGGUAGAGACGAAGCUGACGGGUGGGGCAUCCCCGUCAGCGUCCCGCGAAGAGGGGAGAGGGGGGGUCUGACGAGCGGGACCCGCCCGUCAGUGACCCGCAGAGAGAGGAGGGAGCAGCCCACAUGGCGCGCGCGUGGGCCGAACGGGAAUGGGCCGGCCUGCAGGCCGAUUUCCCGGCCACUUGCUGCACAGUACUGUUUUUCUUUUUCUUUUUGUGCAGUUUUUGAGUUAUGUUUGAAUUUAUGUAAUAAUUCGUGUGCUAAUCCAAAAAUCGUGGAAAUUUUUGUGUAGGCUCUCUGAAGUAAGUAGAACCCAAGAAAAAUAUUAAGUUCUGUUUUCUGGUAGUUUACAUGUCUGUAAAAAUCUGCCCUUUUAAUUAGCAAAUAAAACUUGUAUGAAUUUUAAUAAUUUAUUUGUAUGUCCAAAAAUCACCAAAAAUUGUGGGGAGCCUCUGAAUAUUAUUCCCUGGCUCCACCUAAAAUUUGGUGGCAUUUGGAUAAGGUUUGGUUAAAAUGUUAAUAAACCCUUAUUUAGUAUUUAAUUAAUCAUUCCAAAAUAAGUAAAUAGUGAUUAACUAAAAUCCUCAUAUUUAGGGUUGAGUGAUUUUGGGAUUGUGUGAUGACCUGAGGUCAUUAACUCUAAUGACCUCUGGCAGUUAAUUAUUGUUUAGCCUUAAUGCUUAAUUACUGUCAUUAGUAAUUAAUUAAGAAUUAAUUAAGGUAAAUAGGUUUAAUAAUUACUUAAUUUAAGAUAAUUAUGAAUUAAGUAAAUUCUUAGUUUACAGAUGCAACCUCUUGGGUAAAAAUAUUAAAUUAUUAAACAACUUUAUUUAUUGAUUUUCUGUAUUGCAUUGGGAAGACAAAUUGUACUUAAUUCGGUCCAUCUUGCAUAAUUGCCAUACGCAUAAGCAUUCAUCAUUUUGCGUAUAGUGUCCGUGACCGAAGGAGCGCCCGUUGAACCGAACCCCGAGGUCGGUGCUCCGUUCGAGGAAGUCGGAUCCGAGACUUGGGAAGUCUCCGAGGGUCCCUCUCUGCCCUGCAACCAAGGCAAGCCCCGGAUGCAUUAACCCCUCCUUGGAUGUUUUAAAUCUUUUAUCACUUAUGAAUUGAAAAUGCUGCAUUAGGUAGUUGAGAAUUGGGUUAACCUACUUGCUGCAUUUACUACCUUGAUAUCUGUAUCCUGUCCUUAACACCUGUUUUAUUUUAACACUGCGUAGCGAUGCUUAGCCCUGCUACUAGAUAGGUUUUCAACAAGAAAGUUUGAAGGGUUGUUGUGGGAUACACUUAUGAUCAAUGAUGUUUCAAUUUGAGACCGGUCGGUGGACUUGCUUUAAGAAUGGAGUCUUAAAGUAGUGUCUCCAACUGUGUCGGUUAAGGACCGGUCCGUUGAUGGCCUGCUGGGUUGAGAAUUUGUAGUACUAGCCACUUGCCCUCGGUAAGCCCGGUCUUGUGAUCCCUCGACGCGAACAGCUACUCGCGCACUGGGAGUGGAAAGAUGGCGAGAGUAGUGUGUACCCACCUUACGGAUCUGAGAUGACCGGAAAACAUCUAGAUCGGCUGUAGGAUGGUGGAGUACUGUGCUCUCGGGUGCCGCGAACCUGGUCAAAUUUGGGGAGAGCUUGAUUUGGGUUGAUAUAUGCAAGAUUUGGUUCUACAUAUGUCGGGUGGUUAGGAACUCCAGUUGGAUUGUUAAGCGAUUCGAAUCGUCGUUGCUCCCCGAUUGGGAGACUCAAUUCCUUCGACCCUCAUCGUAGUUAAAUAUGCAACUAAGUGAUAAAAUGAGAAAGGGGAAAAUGUCUCAUGAGGUUCGGAUCCCAAUUCCCGGACUCAUAGCGACAUGAAGCUAUGGCCAUCAAUAAAUAAUACUUAAUGAUAGGACUAGGAACUCACGGAUUCGUCUGUGGGGAACAACUAGUUAGACUAUCCUCGAAUUCUUCUGCCUCCGCGAGGGAGGAAUUCAGGGUAAAACUUGAAAAUAAGGAUGCACUACUAGUAAGCUUUUCCGCAAAACACUUUGGCUCCUUGCUCAGCCACCCCUUGUCUACCUUAAGCCUGCAUCCCUAAAUUCUCCUCUUUUCCCGUCGGAUAAGUCUUGUUGAGUACUCCCGUACUCAGGGUUUCAAUACCCCUGUUGCAGGUGAAGCUCAGGAGCCGACUUGUUUCGGACCCUGUUGUGUGACCGUCGUUGAGGCUGACGACGAAGAGGAGUGAGCGUGACCCAUGGGCAGGGUCUGUAAAUUUGUUCUGUCUGUACUAAAGCUUCAGUUGCUCCGCUGGACCAGGCUUGUAAUAACACUCUACUAUUUGGAAGAACUUCUUUUAUAAAUUAAGUUAUGUAAUACUUCCGCUGUUUCACUCUGAAAUAUUAUUUUGGUCUUGUGUUGUUGAGUUACUGCUUUAUCUUCGCAACGAAUGAUCCUGGUGUUAAGGUGGCCACUUGCUAUCCUGUAAGGGCGAGAAGAAACAGUUCUCGUGGUUUGACCAUUAUCAGUGGUCAGGUCGAGCCAGCUUGGUACGCCACAGGUAGCAGUGGAAUGAGCACACAGUAAGGCUCAUCGGACUUCUAAAGUGGGAGGACUCCCGGCACCACCGUCAGAGGUCCUUGGGACAAUGGCAGGUGUCGGUGGGCCCAAACACUUAAGGGGUUCUGCCACACAUACCUUGUGCUUGUCAUUCAUCCGAUCUUCUUGCUCCAAUCCUAGAAAGGUUAGUGACAAGAAUACCCGAAGGAAUAUUUUAUAAUUAUCCUUAUAUGCUCAAUACACAAGGUAAUGUUGUAAAUAAUUAAAAGCUCAUGUUACGAUCUGAUCAGUGCUUAUUUUAGGACACAAAGCUUGUCCUUGGGAAACCAUCAAUUUAUGUCGGCGAAGUGGUUUCCCUUCCAACGCUGACCUAUAUCAAGAUCAACUCAACGAGAUCUACAAUAUUUAUUAUAGACAUAUGCAUCAACAACUGCCCUUUUAAAGUUUUUAUAAAUAGAAAGGAAGAGGGGGUUGGAGAUCUCAAAUGUGGUGAUGUUGGAGAGACCAAUAGAUUGGGAAGAUGUUGCAUAUGAGCAUGGAGUAAAUGAAGUGGCUAUGAAAUAAAUUUCAUGCUCAUUAAUGUUAUCUUUGUCUCCAAUCUGAAUGUUCGGAGUUUCUCCUCGAUUGGUCUCACUUAUGUCCCCUGCUAUAGUUGGAUGAAUCCCAUUUUCAAAGGGAGUCAAGAACUCACCAUUUGAAAUUGAGCCAAAGUCAGAAUCCAUUAAGGCUUCUUACUUAUCCAUCCAUUCUACACAUUCUAGCCAUUUAGAACUUGUGAUCAGGAAAGGGGAGGUGUUACAAUUUUCUAUAUGGCUUAGCUCUCCUUCACUUGAUAUGUCAUCCUCGACUUCUUCAUAACCUGAACCAGGACAUUCUCUAAGAGAACCAUUAUUGCAAGGACUUGAAUUAUCUCUGCUUGAAGGUUUCUUAUGGAACUAAAAGUCUAAACCAUUAGUAUCUGAAAGAUUUAAGUUCAGAAUUCCUCCCUCCCUUGAAGAAUUUUGGGGUAUUGAUGGUUUAGGAUCGAUAGCUAAAGUUUGGGAUUGAAGUGGUUGUGAUCUGGCUAUCGAAACUUCUUCUUCUUGUCUAGGAACUGGUUCUUUCUCUUUCUCAGGGAUAUAAAAGCUAGGAGACUUUCCGCUCAUUAAAUCAAUCAAAUUCCAAGCUUCACUAGCGGAUAGGUGGUGGAAAGAUCCUCCGGAGGCUGUAUUCAAUGUUUUCUUAUUUUCCAUACUAAGGCCCUCAAAAAAGUGAAUUAGAAGAACUUCUUGUGGAAUAGAAAGCAUUGGGCCAGUGAGAGUAAGGUUAAUAAAGCGGUCCCAUGAUUUGCCAAGAGAUUCUUCUUCCAGUUGUCUAAAAGAAAUAAUCUCACGCUGAAGUUCCACCACUUUAGAGAUUGGAAAAUAUUUUAACAGAAAACUAUUAUGUAACUCCUUCCAAUCUCCAUGAACACUCCCUACUUUGAGUUUAUACCAAUGUCUAGCUUUUCCUAUUAAAGAGAACAGAAAGAGCUUCCAUUGAAGGGUCUCAUCGGACAUGCCUUCUAUGCGAAGGAGGUCACAGACUCGAUAAAACUCUCUUAGGUGGGUGUAUGGGUUUUCCUCACUUUCUCCUGAGAAAGGUUGUUUUUGAACAAAUUCUAUGUAUUCGGGGUCUAUCUCAAAACUAGAUGCUAUGAUAGGCUUUGAAGAUUUUGGUGGUUCGAGAUGUGUGCCCACAGGUCUAUGAAAUUCAUAGAUAGACAUGUUUCAAUUCAUGAUAGACCAGAGAUCAAGGAUUAGAUAAGAAGAAAGAUUAGCAGAGAUGAGGCAAAGGAUAAAAGGAAAAUAUUUUUUUAUUUUUUAGAAAAUGAUUAAGCUAAUUCGUAGUCAACUCAGCAACCGUUUCCCCGGCAACGGCGCCAAAAAUGCUUGUUGACACUUGCUAACACCACUUGAAUACUAGGUUGUCAUCCCCAACAUGGCACUAGAGUGUACUAUGGUAUUUAUACGCACAGAGAUAAAUUCGCAAGCGCACGGAUACCGUUGUAGCUUUUACCCGGUUAAAGGUUUUAUCGUAUCCACAGGGAAACGGGAGAACCAACUACCCUAAACCCUAAACCAAGAUAGAUAGAUAAGUGUAAAUAGGAAAGAUGAUAGAAUUGAAUAAGAACAAUAUUAAAGGUAAGAUAAUAAUGGGUGAUAAUAUGGGAAUAGAGAGUAGGGCAAUCUAGUAUAUGGGCGAUGGUAGCAGAAUAGAGACAAUAACUAUGGUUUCUCUACUUCAAAGGGGUAUGUCUAUGUCUGGGACGAACCACGUGAUAAGAAUACACCACAAAGGAUGCUUAUCCAUAGGCCGAUAAACCCUACCCGUCCUGCUAACAGGAGGUGGACUACAGGGGACCAACGUAACUGUCACCUACACGACCUACCACACGAUCCAGCUAGACAGGGGAUAUCCACAAGUAAUCUAGGUCUAAGCACCACGCUUACACCUAUACUACAACUCUAACCUAUAGGGUCCUAUAGAUUAGAAGUACUCAAAAGAGUUGUGAACCAGAACAUACAUGAUUAGUAAUUGCAUAAUGAAUUAGAAGUAGAUUACUAGAGUCAUCCUAUGAGCAAGCUUGAUUAGAGCUUGAUCAUGGCGAAGUACAACCGGAGGAACAACCGACACGCCGGCCUCUCCUCCAAUCCUCCCUCGCUCUCCAUCUUGCUACUAUCUAAAUCUACUCUAGUUUAGAGAUGAGAGGAGAGCUCUCAUCUCCAAACCCUAGCUUUUGCUCUGUCUAUGAAUAAUGAAUAGGGAUCAAGGGGUGCCUCCUCCAGGGGCCAGGGGGUCUGCUUAUAUAGUCCCCUCAAGUGAAUCUAGGCCGUCGGAUCAAACCGACAUUGAUUGAACGGUUAUUCUUGAUCCAUUAGGUCGGUGGAGCAUAAUCCCCGAAGCAAGUCCUGAUUGGACUCUAGGACAGGGCGGGCGCCCAAGGGGGGAGGGCGGGCGCCCUGCCCUCGAGCCCGCUCGGCCUCCCGUUCGUUCCCAUGGCUUCUGGAGUAUUCUAGAUGAUAGAAAAUUGCACGGCACGUUCAUAUCUCUAUGUAAACCCGACAUGUGGGCCUUUCUUCCAUAAUUCCUGAUAACCCCCUACAGAAAUAGACAAACACCAAAACUCAUGGAAAUCUGUUAGAUAAAACCCUAAGUCUGGGUGUUGGUUGCAUUUGGAUCCUUUUCUUUGUUUAUUUGCUGAUUAUAUUUGGUACUUAAGGACCGUCAACAAUUUUUACCACUGGGAGAAAGUGUGCAUCUGAUUAACCAAAUCUAUUGCUACUACCCUUUAGGCUACAAAGAAUGUUUCUCAAUGUGAGCGAUGUAUAGAGAAGACUACAACCGUAGUCUCGUUCUAACCUUGGUAAGGAUGAUCUACUGUUCUAUUGGGGAAGCUUACGGAAUCUAGACACCACAGAGGAUGUUUGAUGCGCACCUAUAAAUCUACCCGUCCUGCUAACGAGAUGUGGGAUGCAAAGGUAACUCAGAAAUGUCACGUUCCUCGCUACUACCACGGUCCAGCUAGUCAGGGGAUAUCUAUGAGUACCCUAGCCCAAACACCAUGUUUACGCUAGCAAUGAUUACUCUAAACUCAACCAGAAGAGAUUAAAGUAAACUCAUAAACCAAAGAACAAUAAAACAAGAACUUACUAGAAUUAGAAGUCGAAUUACUAAAGAAUCCUAGGAGCAAGCCUCGGGUUAGGAGAACUUGAUCCCGCAGGUACAACCUUAGAGUAGACACCGACAGGCCGGGCUUCCUCCGAUCUACACCUCCACUCUAUCUCCCUCAAUAUAGUAGAAACUAGAAGAUCUAAUUCUACUCACAUUGGAUGCUAAGCCCUAAGUCUAUUUAGAGGAGAGGUUAUCCUUCGAGGGCUCCUCUCAACACUAUGAUGAACUUGUUCCCCUCCAGGGGCCAGGGGGUCUGCUUAUAUAGUCUCUUCAAGUGAAUCUGGGCCGUCGGAUCAAACCGACAUUGAUUGAACGGUUAUCCUUGAUUCUUUAGGUCGGUGGAGCGUAAUCCCCGAAGAGAGUCCAGAUUGGACUCUGGGACAGGGUGGGCGCCCAAGGGGGGAGGGCGGGCACCCUGCCCCCAGGCCCGUUCGCCUUCCGUUCGUUCCUGUGGCUUCUGGAGUCUUCUAGAUGAUAGAAAAUUGCGUGGCACGUUAAUAUCUCUAUGUAAACCCGACGUGUGGGCCUUUCUUCCGUAUUUCCUGAUAACCCCCUACAUAAAUAGACAAACACCAAAACUUGUGGAAUUCUGUCAGUUAAAACCCUAAGUCUGGGUGUUGGUUGCAUUUGGAUCCUUUUCUUUAUUUAUUUGAUGAUUAUAUUUGGUACUUAAGGACCGUCAACAACUCCCCCAAGCUUACCUCUUGCUCGUCCCUGAGCAAGGAUGAACUCAAGAGAUUCUACAGUGGUUUCAUGCCUUAAAAGUAAGAUCUCAUCUCUGAGUUAGAGUAAACUGUUAAGACUUAAAACUUACUCAUUUUACCUUUCACCAUGGGGCUUGUAACCGUCACUUGUGUCUUGAGCAGUCAAAAGAUGGAACAGUCUAGUCAAGUGGCAUGCCUCUUAUUCUUGAUCAGCUAUGGCUCUAGAGUUUUUGCAGAUUUUCAAAUAAAACUUAGAGAUUCCUUAUAUGAUUCUCUCAAGUCUCUCUUUUCUGGUAUUUGUGGAUCCUUUCCAAGGCAGUAAUAGUAUAUGCCUUCUCUCAAAGUAUGUGGUAUUUUUGGUAUGAGGUAUAGUAAUAUUGCCUUCUCUCUCAUCCUACUCUAAUAAGGUUUUGAUAUCUGGAGCUCAUAGGUGGCAGAUAGAUAAUACAUACUUACAAGACAUUUAUUGCAUAGUCAAACCAUGGAUCCAGAAUAACAAGUCAAUAAGUCAAAUCAAGAUAUGCAUGUGUGGCGAGUGAAUGGUGUAUGGUGAUGAUGGUGAUAACAAUGGUGAAAGUCUAAUUCUACUUUUGCUCUUUUAAGCGAAUACAUACCUUUCUUGCACUUUGAAGCUUUUUGAGGAGAAUGAGAUGCUCUAUAUUUUCUUUUUCUUUCCUCUCAGGUGGGUAUCUUGUAUCCCUAAUUCUACUGUCGGACAUUUGUCCAUUUUUAUCUCUCGUCUCACUUUUUCUUUUCUUCGAGGUUCCAGGCACUUGCCACUUUUUAUUUCCUCGUAUUCUUUUUCUCUUUCUUUCUCUUUUUUUUCUUUUUUACAGCACUCAUCUCCUGAAAUAAUAUAGCAAGUGGUAGUAACCAAGAUAACUCGAGCAUUUAUUUCAAAGGGAAAAAUAGAAAUAGGAGAAUGUUUUUGGCUAUUCUCUCCCGGAUUAGGAGUAGCAUACUUUUAGGUGGCUCUGGAGAUAGAAAUGAGUGGAUAUAGUGGAUGUGUACUUCCGGAGUAGAAGCAGCAUGUGUGAGUGAAUGUGCAAGUGAAUCUUGAUUUUAACCACAUGACAAGCUCCUAAGAGUCUACACAGCUUGACCACACUCAAUGCUCAUAAGCUGUAAAAAAGUAAAUGUAUGGCUCAAAGUCUAGCAAGCAUAUAUAUAUAUGGCUGUGGUAGAAAUUUAAACUCUCAUCAUACAGGAACUCAUCAUGUGUUAUUUUAAAGGUUUUCAAAGAUAAAAUUCUCCAGAAUUCUAGCAUCUCUAGGAACAGAUAAACAGCAGCUCAACCUUCCCAUAUCAUAUUCGUUAGUGACUUAGACUUUAGAUCAAGUACUCUUCCCACAAGUUUAGGUUUAGAGCAGGUUUAAAUUAUAACAGUUUUGCCUAAACUUGAGAGAGAUUUCAAUUUUAAGAACUAGUCAUGGCAGAGCAACUAUUCAUCAUUUCCAUGUGAGAGCUUAUCAUUAGGGUUCAUAGCAAACUUUAUUUAUUUAUUUAUUUAGCAAAAUAAGCAAAGAUAUAUAUAUAUAUAUAAGCACUUAGCUGGAUAAAUAGGGGUGCUAUUCCCCAAGCUGGAUUUUGACGUAAUUUCUUCUAAUGUAGCUAGCAGGUGGCAGAGGUGUAUUUGAAUGUCGGCAGCACCCAGACAGCGAUUAGGAUGUCCUCUGUCUGCUAGUCUUCUUUGAUCCUUCAAUUCUGUGGAGCUCAAAUAGACAACAAAGCUUUGUGGAACUGGUUAAGUGUUAGCAUAAAAUCUCUUUGCCUUUAUCAUGUUGAGCUUCCUUUAAUAAAUAUUACUCUCUUUGGUAGGACCAUAAAUUUACUUUUAUAUUCUUAUUUUUAUAGGACAGGAAUAUAUUCAUUUUAUUUUUAUGCCACCACAGUGAAUGUACUUUUGGGUUUUAUGCCAUGAGCAUACUCACAUGGGGCUUACUAUUUUUAACAUUUUUAUUUUCUUUUUAAGAUAGCAUGAACCUGAUCGACUAAGCAAAAUAUUUUGAAUAAUUGAAAGGAAAAGGAUAACUACCAAGUUUACCUCUUGGCAAGGCGUUUGGUGUUUUUUAAGUCCUCCGAACGGGACUCUUUGUUUUCUCAGUCAUCCUAGGAUUCGCUGGAUGGCGUAGUCGGUGGUUCCGGCGGCGCCUCUUCUUCGUGUAUAGCUAUCUUCUCUUUCUGAUUCGGUGCUACGGUCUCCUCAGGAUAGUUCUGUUCAAGCUGUAUGUCUUCAGACCUUACCACUUCUCCUUCGUAGUCUACCCAUCCGUCCUUGAUGAUUUGCCUUCUCUGGUUUUGGUUGCGUCGCCUUCUUCAGAGGGAAGUGCAUGUGGACUUCUCCGGUUCCAAUAUAGAUGAUGGCUUUGAUAGUAUUGAGGAACGGUCUUCCAAGGAUGGUGGGUGGAUCAUACUCGUCUUCUCCCAUGUCAAUGACCUGAAAAUCAUCUGGGGCUUGAUAUAUAUUGGUUGUAGGGGCAUGGUUCCAUGCAGGAGCUGAUAAGUGACUGCGGCCAUUAUGUUGACGUCAGAUCCGGUGUCUUAGAGUGUCUUCUAAAAAGAGUAUCCGUUGAUUGUGCACUCGAUGCUUGGAACACCAGGGUCAUCCGUGUUCAUCCUUUAGGUGCAUCAUUUGAUUAGGUGUGGGCCUUGACAUCUGUACUUCUACGGUGUCACCCAUGUUCUCCGUUUGCCCCGUAGUUCGAAGUGUGGUGUUGGCAAUAUCCUGCUCAAUGUGUUUGUGCUCGUAGAUCUAGGUCCUUCACUUGGUGGAGUCUGGGAGUUGUAAAAGUCCUCCAUGUUUUGCUUGAAGUGUACCUGUUCAUAGAGACAAGGCAGAGAUCAAGUGCAUGGGCCCUGUUGGUGGAGAACACCAACAGAACCAAAAGUGUAUUUGUUCUUCUCUAACCUUAAGCAUAGUGAGCAAGACAAAGUUGAUGGAUCAUGAGUGU